ACAGCUGUGCCCAUCCCUGCCCCAGUGAAAGCUAUGGAUUUAAUCCCCAAGCGUACUCAAUGAAUCAAAUGCAGGUAUGGAUUGUGGAUCCCAGUAAGCCCGUCCAUGUACUCCAGCCGUCCUUGAAAAUGGAUAUUUGGGGCAUGAGGAGCAGAUUGAGGUGAAGAAAUGCAGAGCUAGGAUGGCGGAGGGAAGAAGAGGGAGACUGAGAGCCCAGGGGAUUCGGAAAUCCGGAGGACUGUGCUGGACUUUCUAACAGGAGAGAGCCACUCAGGAAGACUGGAUGACUGGGGCAUACUUCGAUGAUGGAAGAAAUGAUGGUGAUGAAAACCCUCAAGGAAAUAAUUCACCUCCAGUAACAUCAGAGCUGUCCUUUAGGUUCUGAAGUUAGCACAGGCCCUUAUGAGUGGAGGGGCAGCUGUUCAUUAUCCUUACCUACUCCGCUUCACCCCAAGGUGGUCCCCUGUCUCACUGGUGUCAAUCAACAGCAAAGAUCCUGUCCUCUAACUACCUGCAAAAACACUACUUAAGGUGUCGCCCCCUCUUCAUGGGAGUAGACAUAUUCUCCU
Molecule: long non-coding RNA, 569 nt
Organism: Homo sapiens (human)
Lineage: Eukaryota; Metazoa; Chordata; Mammalia; Primates; Hominidae
Source: Ensembl